RNAcentral lists this ribosomal RNA (749 nucleotides) under uncultured bacterium. Its description in RNAcentral is "bacterial SSU rRNA". It matches the Rfam family "Bacterial small subunit ribosomal RNA", at positions 35 to 796 of the family's 1533-position model. The record is from RNAcentral.
GCUGGCGGCGUGCUUAACACAUGCAAGUCGAACGGUGAAGCCCCGCUUGCGGGGUGGAUCAGUGGCGAACGGGUGAGUAACACGUGAGCAACCUGCCCCUGACUCUGGGAUAAGCGCUGGAAACGGCGUCUAAUACUGGAUACGAGACGUGAUCGCAUGGUCAACGUUUGGAAAGAUUUCUCGGUUGGGGAUGGGCUCGCGGCCUAUCAGCUUGUUGGUGAGGUAAUGGCUCACCAAGGCGUCGACGGGUAGCCGGCCUGAGAGGGUGACCGGCCACACUGGGACUGAGACACGGCCCAGACUCCUACGGGAGGCAGCAGUGGGGAAUAUUGCACAAUGGGCGCAAGCCUGAUGCAGCAACGCCGCGUGAGGGAUGACGGCCUUCGGGUUGUAAACCUCUUUUAGCAGGGAAGAAGCGAGAGUGACGGUACCUGCAGAAAAAGCACCGGCUAACUACGUGCCAGCAGCCGCGGUAAUACGUAGGGUGCAAGCGUUAUCCGGAAUUAUUGGGCGUAAAGAGCUCGUAGGCGGUUUGUCGCGUCUGCUGUGAAAUCUGGGGGCUCAACCCCCAGCCUGCAGUGGGUACGGGCAGACUAGAGUGCGGUAGGGGAGAUUGGAAUUCCUGGUGUAGCGGUGGAAUGCGCAGAUAUCAGGAGGAACACCGAUGGCGAAGGCAGAUCUCUGGGCCGUAACUGACGCUGAGGAGCGAAAGGGUGGGGAGCAAACAGGCUUAGAUACCCUGGUAGUCC